RNAcentral lists this ribosomal RNA (557 nucleotides) under uncultured bacterium. Its description in RNAcentral is "bacterial SSU rRNA". It matches the Rfam family "Bacterial small subunit ribosomal RNA", at positions 102 to 694 of the family's 1533-position model. The record is from RNAcentral.
ACGGGUGAGUAACGCGUGGGAAUCUACCGUGCCCUACGGAAUAGCUCCGGGAAACUGGAAUUAAUACCGUAUACGCCCUACGGGGGAAAGAUUUAUCGGGGUAUGAUGAGCCCGCGUUGGAUUAGCUAGUUGGUGGGGUAAAGGCCUACCAAGGCGACGAUCCAUAGCUGGUCUGAGAGGAUGAUCAGCCACAUUGGGACUGAGACACGGCCCAAACUCCUACGGGAGGCAGCAGUGGGGAAUAUUGGACAAUGGGCGCAAGCCUGAUCCAGCCAUGCCGCGUGAGUGAUGAAGGUCUUAGGAUUGUAAAGCUCUUUCACCGAUGAAGAUAAUGACGGUAGUCGGAGAAGAAGCCCCGGCUAACUUCGUGCCAGCAGCCGCGGUAAUACGAAGGGGGCUAGCGUUGUUCGGAAUUACUGGGCGUAAAGCGCACGUAGGCGGAUAUUUAAGUCAGGGGUGAAAUCCCAGAGCUCAACUCUGGAACUGCCUUUGAUACUGGGUAUCUUGAGUAUGGAAGAGGUGAGUGGAAUUCCGAGUGUAGAGGUGAAAUUCGUAGA